GAACGCACCUUGCGCCCCUUGGUAUUCCGAGGGGCAUGCCUGUUCGAGCGUCAUUAUAACCCCUCAAGCUCAGCUUGGUAUUGGGGCCUGCCAUCCUGGCAGCCCUUAAAAUCAGUGGCGGUGCCAUCCGGCUCUAAGCGUAGUAACUCUUCUCGCUAUGGAGUCCUGGUGGAUGCUUGCCAUUAAUCUUUUAACUUCUAUGGUUGACCUCGGAUCAGGUAGGGAUACCCGCUGAACUUAAG
RNAcentral lists this unclassified non-coding RNA (242 nucleotides) under uncultured Helotiales. Its description in RNAcentral is "sequence contains 5.8S rRNA gene". The stretch from base 1 to 53 matches the Rfam family "5.8S ribosomal RNA", at positions 102 to 154 of the family's 154-position model. Lineage: Eukaryota; Fungi; Ascomycota; Leotiomycetes; Helotiales. The record is from RNAcentral.